UUGGAACAACCAGGACACUGAUUUACACACUCAAACAUGAAAUCAGGCUCCCUGGCACUUGUGGCCAUUGUCCUUGACCCAAAGCAAUGUCA
This 92-nucleotide long non-coding RNA is filed under the name Junco hyemalis (dark-eyed junco). RNAcentral describes it as "lncRNA (ENSJHYG00000017859.1)". Lineage: Eukaryota; Metazoa; Chordata; Aves; Passeriformes; Passerellidae. The record is from RNAcentral.